This 1076-nucleotide long non-coding RNA is filed under the name Actinidia chinensis (golden kiwifruit). Its description in RNAcentral is "long non-coding RNA (ACHI_LNC005603)". The record is from RNAcentral. Lineage: Eukaryota; Viridiplantae; Streptophyta; Magnoliopsida; Ericales; Actinidiaceae.
UUGAUCCUUCUCGCUUGGUCCAUCGGGGAGUGACCCCACGAAAUAUUGACGAGAUAUCUUCCAACAUAGUCGCCACCCUUAGACAUAUUCGUUAGCCCAUUUUGCUUAACGUACCAUGGGACAACCGAGAGUUCUUCCAUGGCUCAUGCUUGAGUAAUAAAAAUAUUGCUUUUGUCCAUUAUUUCCCUGGUUCUAAAUUCAAAUAACAAUUUUAAUGACAUAAUGAAAACUAUAACUAUAAGCUUUUCAUAACGGAAACGAAACUGUAACAUUUGCAGAAACUUUCCAUAAAAAUUCAUAUGUAACUAAGAUAUUCAAUUACUCACACGGUUUUUUGUUUCUCACUAGCGCCCAUAGCGAACUCAUGGAACGAACCCGGUUGACUCCGAACCUAACCAUUAAUACUAUCACAUUAUAAUCCUAUACAAUAUGUGCAAGAAGAUAAGUUACACUUCGGUGGUCAUACGGUGUCCAAAGUCAGUCCACUGCAGUGGUGAAAGGUGGUGGUUUUGGGUGGAAAUAACAAUCUAAAUUAUCAGAUAAGUUUAGGACAGAGGAGAGUCCUCGGUGUCAAGAAAAACGGUCCAAUGGCCGAGGGUUGGUCAGGGAAUGACCGAAGAACCUUUGUAGGAAAUUAUGUAGUUUCGGUAACUCUAAUAUACAAACUUCCUUCGACCAAACGGUCAAACGGAGGUUACAUAUGAACUUAGAAGAUCGAUUAUAGUAGAACUGAGGUGAUUCCGAAUUUCCAAGCCAUCACAGCGACCGGUGGUGGUGGUUUUCGCCGAGAGCCCAAAAAUGACAAUUUUCGAUUUCGGCUCGCGCGGCUGUCCUACGGUGGUUUUCGGAACCCGGAAUAGGUCUCAAUAGUUUCUAUAGGUUGAAAGGAGUUGAGCGGUGGUCACCGGAAGUGUCGAUGGCCAAGGCCAUGGCCACCCGUAGGUGUGGCCGUGUGGCCCCGUGUGCGCGCGUGUAUAGAUGAGAGAGAGGAGGGGAAGAGGGGUGAGAGAAACUCACCGGAGGUAGUGUGGCGGAGGCUGGACAGCGGUGGUAGUGGUGGAUGCGCUACGGGGGGG